RNAcentral lists this long non-coding RNA (533 nucleotides) under Lathyrus oleraceus (garden pea). RNAcentral's name for it is "Pisum sativum (pea) long non-coding RNA (PSAT_LNC027187)". The record is from RNAcentral. Lineage: Eukaryota; Viridiplantae; Streptophyta; Magnoliopsida; Fabales; Fabaceae.
GCUUUUCGGUUGAAGCUUGGUCAGGUUAACAAACAAGGGUCAUUUCUAAGGCCAUUGAAAACGAAAUUGCCGAUGCAAAAGAGACAUUCACUGUACACAUAUUCACACAUCUCGACUUCGUUCCAUUUGUUUCUUAUUUGAAACCUUCACAACUCUUAUUUCACAACUCAAUUUUUAUUUUUCACUAUUUUUCUUCCAAGCAAGCAUUCAUUUUCAUUCUUUCUAUUUUUGUUCUUUUCUUUCACAUCAUAUUUACAAAACAGAUGUUUCUUUUCUAUAUUUUUAUUUUCAAUGCUUGCUCGGUUUUUCUUUUCUUUUUCAAGAGUUGUGGUACUUACCGAUUCUCCCCAACUUAUUUCUUACUCACCCUAAGUGAAUGCUCUUAACUUUUUACGGCAAAAGAACAAUAAUCAAGAUUUUCCGGGUUGUAAAAAAAAGAUUUUUGAAAUCUCGCUUUAUUUCAAGCUGAGAUUCAACUGUUUAAGCUCAACGGGGUUAACGAAUACUCUCUCUGCUCACAGGUAAGUUGUUUU